AAAGGAGAAUUAAGAGUUGAUUAUGAUGCCCCAGGACAUUCUUGCACAACAAUGGCUUACAGUGCUGAUGGGACAAGGUUGUUCUCAUGUGGGACUAGCAAGGAAGGAGAAUCAUACAUUGUAGAAUGGAAUGAAAGUGAAGGAGCUGUCAAGCGGACAUAUCAUGGUCUUGGGAAGCGGUCUGUUGGGGUUGUGCAAUUUGAUACAACAAAAAACAGAUUUCUAGCUGCUGGUGACGAGUUUGUAAUCAAAUUUUGGGACAUGGAUAAUGUUAACCUCUUGACAACUACUGAUGCAGAGGGUGGAUUACCGAUAUGAUUGAAGAAUUAAUCAACAGGGGACAGCAGGUUGAUGCGGUCCACUUUACUUUCGAAGUUGGUCUUGAGGGCAAGUUCCCCCCUGUUCCACUGCUGAAUGUCCUUACAAUGCUCGAUCUUGUUCCUCACCAAAGGGUCCUGAUCUUGUUCUCUUUGAUUAAAGGGGUUACAUGCUCUAAAACGCUGGUAAUUCUUUUUAUUUCGCAGCAUCUUGCUGCACGCAAGGAGCAGUCUGCACUCCGGGCUGUCAUCAAGUGCGUUGAAGAGUACAAACUUGAGGCCGAAUUCCCUUCAAAAAAUCUCAGGAAGCGCCUUGACCAAUUAGAGAAAUCCAAGACUGAGAAGAAAAAGCCAGCUGCUGUCCCUGCCAACAAAAGAACACGAGUGAACAGUGGUGGCCCAAUGCCACCAGCAAAGGCUGGCCGCUCUACAAAUGCUUACGUGUCAUCUUUCCCUGCGGCCCCCGCAUAUGUCAGGUCCCCGUCACAUGCUCAAUACCCUGUUGGCGUUCCAUCGUAUCCUGCUGGUCCUGCCAUGUAUGGCAGCAGAAGCCCUCUAACCAACCCUUAUGCAUACUCACCUGAAGCAGGCCCUCCUCUUGCUGGGUCUUAUCAAGUAGCUCCAGUGAACUACUCUCCUUAUGGAGGCUAUGGAAACGUUGCACCAACUUAUCAGCAAGCCUACUACCGAUAGACUUGACUUUGGAGAUGGUGAAACACUGAUAUGAUGACCCUGAUCUCGAAUGUUCUCUAAAUGGAGAAAUGUCA
This is a non-coding RNA of Camellia sinensis, 1084 nucleotides long. NCBI's taxonomy places the organism in Eukaryota, Viridiplantae, Streptophyta, Magnoliopsida, Ericales, Theaceae. The record is from RefSeq and is a predicted model, not a curated record.